This 594-nucleotide ribosomal RNA is filed under the name Digenea sp. ophthalmoxiphidiocercaria DB-2022. RNAcentral's name for it is "partial large subunit ribosomal RNA". The record is from RNAcentral. Lineage: Eukaryota; Metazoa; Platyhelminthes; Trematoda.
AAAGUUGAAAAGUACUUUGAAGAGAGAGUAAACAGUGCGUGAAACCGCUCAGAGGUAAACGGGUGGAGUUGAACUGCAAGCUCCGAGAAUUCAGCUGAUGAGUGUGACUUGAGCUGGGUCAAAUUGAUUGAUGCUUGAGGUCUGCGUCCCCGCAGGUUCUCGUCUUCGGGCGGGAAUGCGCGCUAUGCUUGUCAUGUUUUGCGCGCCUUGAGUGUUAUCGGAUCUGCUCGUCGGUGCACUUUCUCGGGGUGGUCACCACGACCGGCGCUGCUGUCUGGCUGUUGCGGUCAAACCGGUCUUGCUUGGUCCUUGUGGCUUUGCUUGAUUGGCACGGCAGGUAGCUCGUUAGUUUGCUUGCAAGCUUUCGGGUGUAAUCAGCUGUCCGUAAUGGUUCAGUGCGGUGUGUCGGAGACGGCGGCUUAUGGUGUGGGCGUGUGUGAUUGCAGAUGGCGUUCUUGAGUCUGGUCGUUAUGUUGCCUGUUCAACCAGGCCUGAUGAUGGCUUGAGGAUGUUCGGUUUGUAGUUGCAUGUGUUUCACUGCUAAGGGCCUAUAGUCUGUGGUGUAGUGGUAGACUUUCCACCUGACCCGUCUUG